GUGUGUGUGCAGGAUCCUGGGCUGUGUACCCCGGCGCCCUGGGCUCCGGGGCCUGCACCGCUGGAAUCGCGCUCCAGGGGCUGCGCAGCCCCCU
This 94-nucleotide microRNA precursor is filed under the name Canis lupus familiaris (dog). RNAcentral describes it as "mir-8799 microRNA precursor family". It matches the Rfam family "mir-8799 microRNA precursor family". Lineage: Eukaryota; Metazoa; Chordata; Mammalia; Carnivora; Canidae. RNAcentral also lists the same sequence under 1 other name. The record is from Rfam by way of RNAcentral.